GACGGAGGAUGCAAGUGUUAUCCGGAAUCACUGGGCGUAAAGCGUCUGUAGGUGGUUUAAUAAGUCAACUGUUAAAUCUUGAGGCUCAACCUCAAAAUCGCAGUCGAAACUAUUAGGCUAGAGUAUAGUAGGGGUAAAGGGAAUUUCCAGUGGAGCGGUUAAAUGCGUAGAGAUUGGAAAGAACACCGAUGGCGAAGGCACUUUACUGGGCUAUUACUAACACUCAGAGACGAAAGCUAGGGUAGCAAAUGGG
This 253-nucleotide ribosomal RNA is filed under the name uncultured bacterium. Its description in RNAcentral is "partial 16S ribosomal RNA". It matches the Rfam family "Bacterial small subunit ribosomal RNA", at positions 524 to 776 of the family's 1533-position model. The record is from RNAcentral.